UAGAGCGGCCAAAGUGCCCGGGAAACACCCGUUCCCAUUUCGAACACGGAAGUUAAGCCGGGCUACGUCCGUGGGAGUACUGGGUAGAACCCGGGAAACCACGGAAGCCGCUCGCC
Molecule: ribosomal RNA, 116 nt
Filed under: Candidatus Nanopusillus sp.
Lineage: Archaea; Nanobdellati; Nanobdellota; Candidatus Nanoarchaeia; Nanoarchaeales; Nanopusillaceae
Source: RNAcentral